UACGGAAGGCAGCAGUGGGGAAUAUUGCACAAUGGGCGAAAGCCUGAUGCAGCUAUGCCGCGUGUAUGAAGAAGGCCUUAGGGUUGUAAAGUACUUUCAUCGGGGAGGAAAAAACAAAAACUAAUAAUUUUAUUUUCUUGACGUUACCCGAAAAAGAAGCACCGGCUAACUCCGUGCCAGCAGCCGCGGUAAUACGGAGGGUGCUAGCGUUAAUCAGAAUUACUGGGCGUAAAGAGCACGUAGGUGGUUUUUUUAAAGUUCAGAUGUGAAAUCCCUGGGCUUAACCUGGAACUGCAUUUUGAAACUGAAAUACUAGAGUAUCGUAGAGGGAGGUAGAAUUCUAGGUGUAGCGGUGAAAUGCGUAGAGAUGUGGAGGAAUACCGGUGGCGAAGGCGGCCCCUGGACAAAGACUGACGCUCAUGUGCGAAAGCGUGGGGAGCAAACAGGGAUUAGAUACC
This 458-nucleotide ribosomal RNA is filed under the name uncultured bacterium. RNAcentral's name for it is "bacterial SSU rRNA". It matches the Rfam family "Bacterial small subunit ribosomal RNA", at positions 340 to 786 of the family's 1533-position model. The record is from RNAcentral.